Streptococcus sp. DD11 is the source of this 138-nucleotide non-coding RNA. Lineage: Bacteria; Bacillati; Bacillota; Bacilli; Lactobacillales; Streptococcaceae. The record is from Rfam.
UAAUCCUUUAAUUCUAUCCAGAGAGAUAGGCAAGGAGCAAAGUAAAAAAGAUGGGUGGAGUGCAGACAGGUGCGUCUUGUUUGCCAUACCCAGCUGUAUUUUCUGAAGUCUCCUUGCAAAAGGAGACUUUUUAUUUAU